RNAcentral lists this ribosomal RNA (462 nucleotides) under Tetrastemma coronatum. RNAcentral describes it as "partial large subunit ribosomal RNA". It matches the Rfam family "Bacterial large subunit ribosomal RNA", at positions 1817 to 2597 of the family's 2925-position model. The record is from RNAcentral. Lineage: Eukaryota; Metazoa; Nemertea; Enopla; Monostilifera; Tetrastemmatidae.
AGUUUUUUGUUUUUUUAUAAAAAAUAGUUUCUGCUCGGUGAUUUUUAACAGCCGCGGUAUUUUGACCGUGCAAAGGUAGCAUAAUCAUUUGUCUUAUAAUUGAGGACUAGUAUGAAUGGAAGUACAAGAUUUUUUCUUUAUUUUAAAAAUGGCUUGAAUUUGCUUUUUUAGUGAAGAAGCUAAAAUGUAUUUAUGGGACAAGAAGACCCUUUUGAGUUUUAUUUUUUUUAAUUUUUUUAUUUUAAAAAAAAUUUGGUUGGGGCGACCAAGGAAGUUGUUUAUCUUCUUUUUUUUAUUUUGAUCCAAUGAUUUUGAUUAAUAGAUUAAAUUACCAAAGGGAUAACAGCGUUAUUUUUUUUGAGAGUUCUAAUCAAAAAUUAAGAUUGCGACCUCGAUGUUGACUUAUAAUUUCCUUUAGGUGUAGCUGCUUUUAGGGUGGGUCUGUUCGACCUUUAAAAUUUU